This 2246-nucleotide long non-coding RNA is filed under the name Homo sapiens (human). RNAcentral's name for it is "Prader-Willi region non-protein coding RNA 1". Lineage: Eukaryota; Metazoa; Chordata; Mammalia; Primates; Hominidae. The record is from RNAcentral.
UACAGACUCUAUCAGGAAUCACUUGGGACUGUGCAUUCUGUUGACACUCACUUUGUGGAAUUAAGUUGCCCACUGCCAACCCUAAAGCCACCAAGGUAGCAGAUGAGGUCUUGUUCUUUUGGCCAGGCUGGAGUGCAGUGGUACAGUCGUGACUCACUGCAGCUUCAAACACCUGGGUUCCAGCAUUCAUCCCACUUCAGCCUCCCGUGUAGCCGGGACUACAGUUUUCAAUAUACAUAUGGUAUGAAAUAAUUUCCUAUUGAAGUCAUCUUAACAUGGAACCAGAAUUAAAUCCUAACAACAAUCAUGUGAGCCUGGGGAGGAUCCUUCCCCACGUGAGCCUUCAGGGGAGACUUCAGCCUUGGCCAUCUUCUACAUCUAGAUUCCUGACCAAGAGAAGCUGUUUAGAAUAGUUCACCAGUGAAGUCAUCUCAACCAGCACAGGGCCUUGACUCCUAACAACAAUCACACGAACUUGGAAGAGGAGCCUUCCCCAACUGAACCUUCGCUUGAGACCUCGUCCUUGGCCAUCCUCUACAUCUGGAUUCAUGAUACAGAGAAACUUGAGUAAUGAUGACACUAGCAGUCCAGCCUGCAUGGAUGCUGACAUGGAUGCUGUCUCCCAUUCUUACCACUGGAUGGGAAGAAAUGCUAGAUGCAAUCCAGCCAGUCUGUACUCGACUGUCAGUUCCAUCUUCUCAACUCACAGUGUCUUCCAAAGUCCGUGCCACACCACAGCCUGGAACAUCUCCCAAGGUUUCAAAUAAUUCAUCAGUGAAUUCUUCUCAACCUGGUCAAUCAUGUGAACUUAGAAGAUGAUUCCUCCCCAGCUGAUCCUCAGGUGAGACAUCAGCCUUGGCCAUCAUCUACAUCUGGAUUCCUGACCCAGAGAAACUGGAACACUAAGACCCAUUCUUCUUCUCAAGUAUCCAAAAAUAAAGUUGAUCCAAGUAAGAAGUGGACAGCAUAAAAGAUUGUAUGGAAGCUAUAAUGCAUCUACAUCUGCAGUAACUAAUCAUAAAAUGAUUUGUAUGAUCAUUCUUCACAUGAUUAGAAUUACUAUGGGAAAGAAGAAAAAGAAAUGCCUCUCUGGAUGGUGACUAUAACCUAUAGCCUUGCCCAAUAUGACUCAGGAUUUGGUACUGGCUGUGCCUUUCAUGGGAUGCUUACUUAUCCUGGUCGAUGGCCUAAAGCCCAACCGUCCAGCUUAUAUCCAGGGUCUCAAGCCACCCAGGCUGGAGUGCAGUGGCACAAUUAUGGCUCACUGUAGCCUCACCUUCCUGGGAUCAAGCAAUCUUCUUUCUUCAGCCUCCAGAGGAGCUGGGACCACAGGUUGACAGCUGCCACAUGGCUCUGGGACCUGUGAGAUCCAGUUAUUCCCAAUGCAUUUAAAUUUUCUAUUGAGUGACUGUGGUUCUCAGUAUAAGCUUCCAGCUACAGAGAAAGUUAUUCAAGGAUGCUGGUCUCCCCUUAGAAAUCAGUUUCUUAAAGUAUUGCUGAAAGGUUGGUCUUCUGGAGCCUCCCAGUGUGGAUCCUUUGGCAUUUGAGAGUUGCUUUGUGUAUACGGUCCUUUAACGGAGCAAAUGGCCAGCCAGGAAACCAAAGUAUGGACAAGGGGAAAGAAGCGUCUGUGGAGGAAGUUUUACAAGCGCCCUCCUCAUCCAUUUGGGUGGUGUUGCCCAUAUGCUACAUGUCUGUGGACCACUAUGUGUGUUUAAAGCUUUUUAGUAAAACGUUACUAAAAACUAUGACUCACUGUGGUGAAAAAGGUGGCAAAACAGUGACAACAGUGAGUUUGCUGCUGUUAUUAUCUAUGUGAGUGGUCACGAAAGCACAGGUAGCAGCUGAGGCAAGGGGAGGGAAGCUAGGAAAAGAAUCGCAGUGAGAAAGGGAUGAGAACUUCCAUGUCUGUGUUAAUGUCUGGUUUUAUGAUAAACUUGAAACUCAAGAGGCACAGUUGGAAAUUGUACCUUGCCACUUUGUGUGGCUGAGAGAGAGAAAGCUGUGCCAGCUGAAUGUGUGGACUGUCUUUGCCAGUGCAGGCUGGGAUGCAAAUACCUGUAAUUCUUGGGAAACAACCAGUGAGCCAGAUGAUGACAUAGAGUUUAACUCAGAGGAGGAAGAUCAUUAUCCUUCCCAUUUGAGAGUGAAACUGUUCAUGCAGUGGAAAGCAAAAUUCCAACACACAGAGGCCUGGGUAGGAUUACUGGAUAUAAUAAAAACUUUAAAACAGCUGCCAAGAGAAA